GGGUCAGGAGGUUGGUCGUGCCACCGGUACGUACUGGUCUCACUGAUUCCUCCUUCCUGAAGAACCGUAAUGCCAUUAAUUUGGUGUUGCGGUGAAACAGGACUGUUACUUUGAAAAAAUUAGAGUGUUUAAAGCAAGCUAACGCUUGAAUACAUUAGCAUGGAAUAAUGAAUUAGGACGAUCGAUCCUAUUUUGUUGGUUUCUAGGAUUGACGUA
This 216-nucleotide ribosomal RNA is filed under the name Glomeromycotina sp. Its description in RNAcentral is "partial small subunit ribosomal RNA". The stretch from base 40 to 216 matches the Rfam family "Eukaryotic small subunit ribosomal RNA", at positions 686 to 864 of the family's 1831-position model. The record is from RNAcentral. Lineage: Eukaryota; Fungi; Glomeromycota.